UCUCUCGUAGCUUAGUGGUCAGAGCAUUGGUGCGUUAUGCCAAAGGUCCCGGGUUCGAUACCCGGUGAGGGUG
RNAcentral lists this transfer RNA (73 nucleotides) under Agrilus planipennis (emerald ash borer). RNAcentral describes it as "tRNA-Asn". It matches the Rfam family "tRNA". Rfam says of the family: Transfer RNA (tRNA) molecules are approximately 80 nucleotides in length. Their secondary structure includes four short double-helical elements and three loops (D, anti-codon, and T loops). Further hydrogen bonds mediate the characteristic L-shaped molecular structure. tRNAs have two regions of fundamental functional importance: the anti-codon, which is responsible for specific mRNA codon recognition, and the 3' end, to which the tRNAs corresponding amino acid is attached (by aminoacyl-tRNA synthetases). tRNAs cope with the degeneracy of the genetic code in two manners: having more than one tRNA (with a specific anti-codon) for a particular amino acid; and 'wobble' base-pairing, i.e. permitting non-standard base-pairing at the 3rd anti-codon position. Lineage: Eukaryota; Metazoa; Arthropoda; Insecta; Coleoptera; Buprestidae. The record is from Rfam by way of RNAcentral.